This 72-nucleotide transfer RNA is filed under the name Ovis aries (sheep). It matches the Rfam family "tRNA". From Rfam's summary of the family: Transfer RNA (tRNA) molecules are approximately 80 nucleotides in length. Their secondary structure includes four short double-helical elements and three loops (D, anti-codon, and T loops). Lineage: Eukaryota; Metazoa; Chordata; Mammalia; Artiodactyla; Bovidae. The record is from Rfam by way of RNAcentral.
UCCCUGGUAGCUCAGACGGUAAAGCAUCUGCCUAUAAUGUGGGAGACCCAGGUUCGAUCCCUGGGUUGAGAA